CGGGGGGAGCAAGCGUUGUUCGGAUUUACUGGGCGUAAAGGGCGCGUAGGCGGUCAGCACAAGUCAGUUGUGAAAUCUCCGGGCUUAACUCGGAAAGGUCAACUGAUACUGUGCGACUAGAGUGCAGAAGGGGCAACUGGAAUUCUCGGUGUAGCGGUGAAAUGCGUAGAUAUUGAGAGGAACACCUGCGGCGAAGGCGGGUUGCUGGGCUGACACUGACGCUGAGGCGCGAAAGCCAGGGGAGCGAACGGGAUUAGAUACCCCGGUAGUCCUGGCCUUAAACGAUGGAUGCUUGGUGUCUGGAGUUAUAUAGUCUCCGGGUGCCGCAGCUAACGCGUUAAGCAUCCCGCCUGGGGAGUACGGUCGCAAGACUG
This 374-nucleotide ribosomal RNA is filed under the name uncultured organism. RNAcentral's name for it is "bacterial SSU rRNA". It matches the Rfam family "Bacterial small subunit ribosomal RNA", at positions 526 to 896 of the family's 1533-position model. The record is from RNAcentral.